Molecule: ribosomal RNA, 504 nt
Filed under: uncultured Actinomycetes bacterium
Lineage: Bacteria; Bacillati; Actinomycetota; Actinomycetes
Description: bacterial SSU rRNA
Rfam family: Bacterial small subunit ribosomal RNA
Source: RNAcentral
UGAUGCAGCGACGCCGCGUGAGGGAUGACGGCCUUCGGGUUGUAAACCUCUUUCACCAGGGACGAAGCGUGAGUGACGGUACCUGGAGAAGAAGCACCGGCCCACUACAUGCCACCAGCCGCGGUAAUACGUAGGGAGCGAGCGUUGUCCGGAAUUACUGGGCGUAAAGAGCUCGUAGGCGGUUUGUCGCGUCGUCUGUGAAAUUCUGCAACUCAGUUGCAGGCCUGCAGGCUAUACGGGCAGACUUGAGUACUACAGGGGAGACUGGAAUUCCUGGUGUAGCGGUGAAAUGCGCAGAUAUCAAGAGGAACACCGGUAGCGAAGGCGGGUCUCUGGGUAGUAACUGACGCUGAGGAGCGAAAGCGUGGGUAGCGAACAGGAUUAGAUACCCUGGUAGUCCACGCCGUAAACGGUGGGUACUAGGUGUGGGUUCCUUUUCACGGGAUCCGUGCCGUAGCUAACGCAUUAAGUACCCCGCCUGGGGAGUACGGCCGCAAGGCUAAA